CUCCAGACUCCUACGGGAGGCAGCAGUGGGGAAUAUUGCACAAUGGGGGAAACCCUGAUGCAGCGACGCCGCGUGAGUGAAGAAGUAUUUCGGUACGUAAAGCUCUAUCAGCAGGGAAGAAAAUGACGGUACCUGACUAAGAAGCCCCGGCUAACUACGUACCAGCAGCCGCGGUAAUACGUAGGGGGCAAGCGUUAUCCGGAUUUACUGGGUGUAAAGGGAGCGUAGACGGCAGCGCAAGUCUGGAGUGAAAGCCCGGGGCUUAACCCCGGGACUGCUUUGGAAACUGGCGCGCUAGAGUGCUGGAGAGGUAAGUGGAAUUCCUAGUGUAGCGGUGAAAUGCGUAGAUAUUAGGAGGAACACCAGUGGCGAAGGCGGCUUACUGGACAGUAACUGACGUUGAGGCUCGAAAGCGUGGGGAGCAAACAGGAUUAGAUACCCCUGUAA
This 447-nucleotide ribosomal RNA is filed under the name uncultured bacterium. RNAcentral describes it as "bacterial SSU rRNA". It matches the Rfam family "Bacterial small subunit ribosomal RNA", at positions 329 to 793 of the family's 1533-position model. The record is from RNAcentral.